RNAcentral lists this ribosomal RNA (325 nucleotides) under uncultured bacterium. RNAcentral's name for it is "bacterial SSU rRNA". It matches the Rfam family "Bacterial small subunit ribosomal RNA", at positions 32 to 334 of the family's 1533-position model. The record is from RNAcentral.
GACGUAACGCUGGCGGCGUGCUUAACACAUGCAAGUCGAACGGGGCUGCUAUGAUGGAGUUUUCGGACAACUGAUUAGUAUGCCUAGUGGCGGACGGGUGAGUAACGCGUGAGUAACCUGCCUUUCAGAGGGGGACAACAGCUGGAAACGGCUGCUAAUACCGCAUAAUAUAUACAGGUCGCAUGAUUUGUAUAUCAAAGAUUUAUCGCUGAAAGAUGGACUCGCGUCUGAUUAGCUAGUUGGCGGGGUAACGGCCCACCAAGGCGACGAUCAGUAGCCGGACUGAGAGGUUGAACGGCCACAUUGGGACUGAGAUACGGCCCAG